This 471-nucleotide ribosomal RNA is filed under the name uncultured bacterium. Its description in RNAcentral is "bacterial SSU rRNA". It matches the Rfam family "Bacterial small subunit ribosomal RNA", at positions 34 to 507 of the family's 1533-position model. The record is from RNAcentral.
CGCUAGCGGCAGGCUUAACACAUGCAAGUCGAGGGUAUAGUUCUUCGGAAUUAGAGACCGGCGCACGGGUGCGUAACGCGUAUGCAAUCUACCUUUCACAGAGGGAUAGCCCAGAGAAAUUUGGAUUAAUACCUCAUAGUAUAGCAGUUUCGCAUGAAACCACUAUUAAAGUCACAACGGUGAAAGAUGAGCAUGCGUCCCAUUAGCUAGUUGGUAAGGUAACGGCUUACCAAGGCAACGAUGGGUAGGGGUCCUGAGAGGGAGAUCCCCCACACUGGUACUGAGACACGGACCAGACUCCUACGGGAGGCAGCAGUGAGGAAUAUUGGACAAUGGGCGCAAGCCUGAUCCAGCCAUGCCGCGUGCAGGAUGACGGUCCUAUGGAUUGUAAACUGCUUUUAUACAGGAAGAAACACUACUUCGUGAAGUAGCUUGACGGUACUGUAAGAAUAAGGAUCGGCUAACUCCGUG